This 497-nucleotide ribosomal RNA is filed under the name uncultured bacterium. RNAcentral describes it as "partial 16S ribosomal RNA". It matches the Rfam family "Bacterial small subunit ribosomal RNA", at positions 28 to 507 of the family's 1533-position model. The record is from RNAcentral.
GAUGAACGCUGGCGGCGUGCCUAAUACAUGCAAGUCGAGCGAACGGACGAGAAGCUUGCUUCUCUGAUGUUAGCGGCGGACGGGUGAGUAACACGUGGAUAACCUACCUAUAAGACUGGGAUAACUUCGGGAAACCGGAGCUAAUACCGGAUAAUAUUUUGAACCGCAUGGUUCAAAAGUGGAAGACGGUCUUGCUGUCACUUAUAGAUGGAUCCGCGCUGCAUUAGCUAGUUGGUAAGGUAACGGCUUACUAAGGCAACGAUGCAUAGCCGACCUGAGAGGGUGAUCGGCCACACUGGAACUGAGACACGGUCCAGACUCCUACGGGAGGCAGCAGUAGGGAAUCUUCCGCAAUGGGCGAAAGCCUGACGGAGCAACGCCGCGUGAGUGAUGAAGGUCUUCGGAUCGUAAAACUCUGUUAUUAGGGAAGAACAUAUGUGUAAGUAACUGUGCACAUCUUGACGGUACCUAAUCAGAAAGCCACGGCUAACUACGUG